CCACAGCCUCUGCUGGUCCGGACGAGUCCCACGGCGACCUCCCGACCCCUCCCCGCUUGCUGCGUGGUGACGGCUCCCUCAGCCUGAAGGAAGGGGGCUGCGGGACCCUGAGCAGGCCCACGGCUGUCGCUGCUGGAUGCCAUUGGCAGUGGCCCUGUGUGAGGACAGGCCUGGCUCUGUGGCCUGCGAGCCCGGGCCAGGCCCAGGGGAGGCCCAGCCUGCAGGGGUGACCUGAGGACCCACGUUGCCCAAGCCGGGAGCCCGGAGAUCUGGGAACCACUGCCCAUCCCAUGGGCCAUCCGGAGGCCAUGCCGGCUCCUCCUGGCACCAGUUUCCAGUCCCCGGGGCACUCCCGCCCGUCGCCACAUGCCGCCGCCAUGGACUGUGCUCCCUGAGUGGCGGCCGCGCCCUGAGGCCCGUCCCCUGCACCCGCGGGUCGGUCUGCGCCCUCGCGCAUCCGGUUUGAUUCUCAGGUCCCACACGGAGUUGCGGCCGCGCGGUGUCUGUCCUUCUCCAUCUGACGCCAGGUCCCCACAGGCCGUCACAGAUGGAAGCCCAGAGGUGGCGGCUGUGAGGGGCUUCCCGGCUCACGGGCAUGGCCCCCGGAGUGCCCAUCGGUCCCCACCAGCACUGAGGACAGAAGGCCUCCAGGACAAGUCACUUUGGUGCGUGGCCAGGACCAGCCACCAAGAAAGCCGGGGUGGCCGUUCCCACCCGGAGUGGCCCUGCUGCCUGCUCACAGCCAGGGCCCAGGCACAUCCAGCCGGGAGCGGGGAGAGCCUGCGCCCCCAUCCCACCCGGCGCCCUGCUCACCCGCACCUGCCCCGCCAUCUGGUCCUUGGCGGCCCCUCCCAAAUGCCUGAACAUCGUCUGUGUGACAGGGACAAGGGCGGCGACGGCAGGUGCGAGCUCCCCUCUCCGGAGAGAAAGGGCAGGUCCGGUCGGGCAGCCCUGGUCCUGGAGCCCGGAGGUCAUUCCCUGUCCACUGUCCGGUGGCUGACCGCCCCAGGCCGCCCACAGCCCAGCGGCCAGGCGGGAGCCAGGCUGUUCCUGGGACAGCUCUCCACCAGCCUGUGAGCGUUGCGGGAGGGGGGCAGGAGGCUCAGGUCCGGGCGGGUUGGUAGCCGGAGGGAGUCAGGAGAAGAUGGUGUGGGCCCCUGGCAAUGAGCCGACGGCCUCGGGCAGCUGCCGCCCAGGUCGGGCCAGACACAGGAGAAGAGCGUGGCCAGGUGGGGAUUCACCACGUGGCUCCAAGAUUUGGCUCAGAAGGGGCCUUCCAUCCCUGCGACGGCAGCCGCCCUGCCCACUCCUCCUGGGGAAGGGCCAGGCCAGUGAGGGGGGCAAGGGGGCCACAGACACUGCCGUCUCAGGACCAGGGGACACCGAGGGCCACAGGCUUCAGAGCCCUGAGCCGCAAAUGGAGGUGGGUGUGGGGGGCGACAGGGGACAAGGCCAGCGGGCCGCCCAGAGCAGGGUCUGCUCCCAGGAACAGUGCCCGGCUUUCCACCAGCCUCCCCCGCCGGCCCUGGGGCAGCUUGUGCCGCUCGGCCCAGCCUUCCGGAUGCGACAGAGCCAGGGACCUGGCUGAAGUGCUCAGUCGCUUCGGGGACCCCGCUCUCCAGGGACUCAGGCUCCUGGCAACUGACAGGGUGGUGGAAAAACCCGGCCUCCAGUCAAUCCGCACAAACCUAAGAAAUAAGAUAGUUUCCUGCCAAACAAACAGCUUUCUCUCUGCCAGAGCUCCCUCCUCCCUCCGCGGCACAGUAGCCACGGGGGUUCCCCAGCACAAAAGAGACAGUGUGUGCCCGGCAGAGGUGUGGGGGUGCACACACCCGCGUGCGCCUGUGUCAGCAUUUGUGUGCGUGCCCUUGUUUGUGUGACUGCGUGUGCGUGUGCGCCUGUGCCUGUGACCACCAUGGAGACUGUGAGCCAACACCCCCUGUCCACCCAGGAGACGGCAGCUUCCUCUCUCAGGAAGGGGGGUGGUCAGUCAGCCUCCUGGGUGCCUAGGAUUGUCCCACGUGGCCAGAGCCCCCGACUCCCCCCGCUCCGGGCCCCUCCGCAUUUCCAGCCCGCCAGGUGGCCCCGUGGUGGACGCCUGGGGAGGGAGCCCUGACGCACCCUGGUCCUGUGCCAGCCGUCGGUGGUGGGUGGCCAGCCCCCCAACGGCGCCCGUGCACCCUGCGGGCGGCCUGCCCACUAGACUGGCAGCGGGCCUCUUCACCCUCCAGGCUCCGCCCCCCUUCAGCCUCCCCCCAGGUCAGAGGGCCUGCAGAGGUGGGCACCUGGGUGGGGGCCCCUUCCCAAGCCAAGCACAGCCCAGGAGGCUCCACCCAACCCGAGCGCCUGGGUACGUGCCCCACGGCCCCGCCUGGGCGCCCCAGCCCCGUUGGGCCAGCAGGAGGCGGAGAACCCCGCUGGACUCAGGUCUGUCUUUCCAACCCAAACCUGUUCCUGGCUGGAGGCUGUGCCCGGAGUGAGCGGCUGGCCGGUCCCCUGACCCCAGCCGAGGGGCUGGGGGGCCUUAGGCAACGCGCUGUGUGCUUCCAAAUCAGGCCAAGCUCCUCUGUGGUGACAGGAAUUAGAGCCACAGCUGUGGGGCUGGGCCGGGACCCUGCCUGCAGAUGGGCCCCUGGAGCCUGGGGGCGGCCCGGCCGCUCUGAGCAGCAGUGUUUGUGCAGCUGUCUGAAGGUGCCCCGUGGGACCGCGCCCCCCCAGUGCUUCUCAAAUGCGCUUCAGAAGAGCUCGCGAUUUGGAGGUGGAGGCUAAAGGCGGCCUUUGUUUGGGAAGUAGCACCGGGAGGCGUCAGCACAGACUGACACCCGGAAUUGGUGCUCACAGCACUAGUCCCCAGAGAGAACGGUGCCUGUGGACCCGCCACCCAGGAGGGCCGAGGCGUCACGAGGUGAGAUGUGGGGCCAACCCGGCACCCCUGCUGCGGCGUGACCCCUGCCCAGAAUCCAGAGGGCACACGCGUGCCCCGCCGGUCGUGCCCGCUGGCGCGCUGACCUGCGGCCCAGGGCGGACCCACACCUGCCGCCGACUGUGGCAAGAACAGGAGAGCAAAGCAGGCCCGGAGAGAGGGCGGCACGCCCUGGCGGGGCACCGAGGCCUGGCUGUCCACGGCCCCACGGUGGAGCGGCCCAGUGCCCGCAGGCAGAGGGGACCGCACAAGCACAGCGGGGUAUCACUCGGCCAGCAAGAGGAGGACGCCCUGGCACAGGCCACACGCACGGACCUGGAGGACAUGAUGCCGGGGGCCAGAAGCCAGUCACAGGGGGACAGUCCUGUGAGGCCCCGCUCACACGGUCCCUGCAGGAGGCAGACCGGCAGAGACAGGGAAUCCACGAGGGGCCAACAGUCGCCAUGGGACUGCUAACGGCAGUCCUCACAGGAGAGGAGUGUCCUC
Molecule: long non-coding RNA, 3409 nt
Organism: Artibeus jamaicensis (Jamaican fruit-eating bat)
Lineage: Eukaryota; Metazoa; Chordata; Mammalia; Chiroptera; Phyllostomidae
Exons: 5
Source: RefSeq, a predicted model, not a curated record